Molecule: long non-coding RNA, 594 nt
Filed under: Gossypium raimondii (Peruvian cotton)
Lineage: Eukaryota; Viridiplantae; Streptophyta; Magnoliopsida; Malvales; Malvaceae
Description: long non-coding RNA (GRAI_LNC005433)
Source: RNAcentral
GUGGAUGUUAAUUUUUGCUCCUGUGAGUGUUUCAGUGGUAGAGGUUCGAUGGAAGUGGAAGUCUGUGGUAGUGGAUGAGAGUAGUGGGUCAGUUUUGGGGGAUUUGUUUGUUAGUGGGAUAAUAGGGAGUUGGGAUAAUCUUUUUGAUUUUUUUCUUUUUAUUUUAUUUUUCCUCUCUCUUAAAAAUCAAUUUGUUCUUUUCACGUUCUUUUUCUUUGGGUUUUCCUUCUUUUUUUUGUUUUCUUUCUUUGUUUACUUUCCUGUUCAAGCAUUUCACGUUUGGUUUGUGGAAAUCUUUGUCAUGCAGGUUCGAUUGCUAUUGUUUUGGUAGGUAUGUGACUUUAUUUAAGUUUUGGUUAUGGAAAUUGAGGAAUAGGUUGGGGGUUUCGUUUGUGUUGUAAUGUGUUUAAAGGGUUUUCUUUUAACCAUUUUCCCUUUUGUUUAUUGUUUGAUAAUCGAUUAGGGGAGGAUUGCGAGUUAGUGGGUGUUUUCUCUAGAGGAGUGAUUGUUGUGGAUCGCUGCCUUCGAGGGUAAGUGAGCCCACUAAAUUCUGUGUGGUUACGGUUGUUCGGGUUUUUCAACAUGUUAAGAACA